CCUACGGGUGGCUGCAGUCGAGAAUCAUUCACAAUGGGGGAAACCCUGAUGGUGCGACGCCGCGUGGGGGAAUGAAGGUCUUCGGAUUGUAAACCCCUGUCAUGUGGGAGCAAAUUAACAAGAUAGUACCACAAGAGGAAGACGCGGCUAACUCUGUGCCAGCAGCCGCGGUAAUACAGAGGUCUCAAGCGUUGUUCGGAAUCACUGGGCGUAAAGCGUGCGUAGGCUGUUUCGUAAGUCGUGUGUGAAAGGCGCGGGCUCAACCCGCGGACGGCAUAUGAUACUGCGAGACUAGAGUAAGGGAGGGGGAACCGGAAUUCUCGGUGUAGCAGUGAAAUGCGUAGAUAUCGAGAGGAACAUUCGUGGCGAAGGCGGGUUCCUGGACCUUAACUGACGCUGAGGCACGAAGGCCAGGGGAGCGAAAGGGAUUAGAUACCCGAGUAGUC
This 446-nucleotide ribosomal RNA is filed under the name uncultured bacterium. Its description in RNAcentral is "partial 16S ribosomal RNA". It matches the Rfam family "Bacterial small subunit ribosomal RNA", at positions 338 to 795 of the family's 1533-position model. The record is from RNAcentral.